RNAcentral lists this ribosomal RNA (253 nucleotides) under uncultured bacterium. RNAcentral's name for it is "partial 16S ribosomal RNA". It matches the Rfam family "Bacterial small subunit ribosomal RNA", at positions 524 to 776 of the family's 1533-position model. The record is from RNAcentral.
UACGUAGGGUGCAAGCGUUAAUCGGAAUUACUGGGCGUAAAGCGUGCGCAGGCGGUUAUGCAAGACAGAUGUGAAAUCCCCGGGCUCAACCUGGGAAUGGCAUUUGGGACUGCAAGGCUUGAGUGCGGCAGAGGAGACUGGAAUUCCUGGUGUAGCAGUGAAAUGCGUAGAUAUCAGGAGGAAUACCGAUGGCGAAGGCAGGUCUCUGGGCUGACACUGACGCUCAUGCACGAAAGCGUGGGGAGCAAACAGG